GCGUGGGGAGCAAAUAGGUUUAGAUACCCUAGUAGUCCACGCCGUAAAUGAUGAGUACUAAGUGUUGGGGGUCGAACCUCAGUGCUGCAGUUAACGCAAUAAGUACUCCGCCUGAGUAGUACGUUCGCAAGAAUGAAACUCAAAGGAAUUGACGGGGGCCCGCACAAGCGGUGGAGCAUGUGGCUUAAUUCGAUGCAACGCGAAGAACCUUACCUGGGCUUGACAUCCUGAGAACCCUCCCGAAACGGAGGGGUGCCCUUCGGGGAAUUCAGUGACAGGUGCUGCAUGGCUGUCGUCAGUUCGUGCCGUGAGGUGUUGGGUUAAGUCCCGCAACGAGCGCAACCCCUAUUGCUAGUUGCCAUCACAUAAUGGUGGGCACUCUAGUGAGACUGCCCGGGUCAACCGGGAGGAAGGUGGGGACGACGUCAAGUCAUCAUGGCCCUUACGCCCAGGGCUACACACGUACUACAAUGGUGCAUACAAAGGGCAGCGAAACCGCGAGGUCAAGCCAAUCCCAAAAAAUGCAUCCCAGUCCGGAUCGGAGUCUGCAACUCGACUCCGUGUUUUUGGAAUCGCUAGUGGUCCCUGAACAGCAUGCCGGGGUGAAUACGUU
This 613-nucleotide ribosomal RNA is filed under the name uncultured marine anaerobic bacterium 90d4. Its description in RNAcentral is "bacterial SSU rRNA". It matches the Rfam family "Bacterial small subunit ribosomal RNA", at positions 759 to 1372 of the family's 1533-position model. The record is from RNAcentral. Lineage: Bacteria; Pseudomonadati; Thermodesulfobacteriota; Desulfovibrionia; Desulfovibrionales; Desulfovibrionaceae.